RNAcentral lists this ribosomal RNA (400 nucleotides) under uncultured bacterium. RNAcentral's name for it is "bacterial SSU rRNA". It matches the Rfam family "Bacterial small subunit ribosomal RNA", at positions 359 to 776 of the family's 1533-position model. The record is from RNAcentral.
GAAUAUUGCGCAAUGGGGGAAACCCUGACGCAGCAACGCCGCGUGGACGAUGAAGGCCUUCGGGUUGUAAAGUCCUUUUCUGAGGGAAGAUAAUGACGGUACCUCAGGAAUAAGUCCCGGCUAACUACGUGCCAGCAGCCGCGGUAAAACGUAGGGGGCGAGCGUUAUCCGGAUUUACUGGGCGUAAAGCGCACGUAGGCGGCGCUGUAAGUUGGGCGUGAAAGCUCUCGGCUUAACUGGGAGAGGUCGUUCAAUACUGCAGUGCUUGAGGUUGGAAGAGGAGAGUGGAAUUCCCGGUGUAGUGGUGGAAUGCGUAGAUAUCGGGAGGAACACCAGUGGCGAAAGCGACUCUCUGGUCCACACCUGACGCUGAGGUGCGAAAGCGUGGGGAGCGAACGGG